Long non-coding RNA from Heterocephalus glaber (naked mole-rat), 1015 nucleotides. NCBI's taxonomy places the organism in Eukaryota, Metazoa, Chordata, Mammalia, Rodentia, Bathyergidae. The record is from Ensembl.
GACUGAUGUCCUACAAUCCCCUUUGAAAGCAUGCUUUCAACCAUCUAAGAAUCUCUUGCAACACUCCACGUCCUAAAGGUUACAUCACCUCCAAAAAGUAUCACCUUGAGGACCAAAUCUUUUACACAUGGAUCUUCAGAGGGCAUUCGACAAAACUGCAGCACAUGCCAAGAAGAGGAACUGCUGAAUCAUAUGACAGAUAAGGAUGUUUUCAAUUGGCUGACAUGAUCACAGAUGCUGAAAAGUUCUUCAGGGGCUGUCUGCAUGCUGGAAAGCCAGGAGAGCCAGUAGCUGCUCAGUCCAAGAUGCUCAGAAUGAGAGAGGGACCAGGGAUACAGCCCCAGUCCAAAGGUGAAGACCCCAAAGCCCUCCGGAGGGCCACUGGUGUGAGUCUGCAUUCAAAGGCUGCAGAGCCCACACCCUGACGUCAGUGGGUGACAGCUGCAGAAAAACAUACUCGCUCUUGGGAAAGGAGACUCAGGCACAACCCAGAGUACGCUUUACCGAUUCUCGAGGCACCCCUUGAUCCAGGGAGAUUGACACCCAAAUUGUCCAUCUCAUAAAGAGAGAGGCCAAGGAUCACUAAGGUGCCCGAGCAGGAGUGACAGGGGAUUUUGGAAGUGGAUCUGCUCCUUCAGCUGCCCAAGCAGUUGCCCCUAGGAGCUGAGAUGACCUGGUCAGCUGAGCCCUUCUUGAAUUCCUGAUCCAUAAAACUGUGACCAAAACAAAAUGGUAUUUUCAACCAUUAAAUGUUUAGUCUGUUUUUAUGUAUGCAGCAGUAGAUAAAAGAAAUACUAAGUCAUACAGACUGCUAAAAAACAUCUGUUUUCACCUUAUCUGCAUUUCUUUUAGAGGCAGCAAGAGUCUCCUGCCCCUGAGCCUGCUACAGUGUGGGUUGAUUUUCCUCUAAUUUCCCCGCUGUCCACUUAGGGUUUAUUUUCCUAAGUCAGUUAUCAGCAGUCCAUCUGCUUUUCAGCUUCCAAAAUUUAAUUAACUAUAAUUCCUCAUUGCUUAC